GUGGGGAAUUUUGGACAAUGGGCGCAAGCCUGAUCCAGCAAUGCCGCGUGCAGGAAGAAGGCCUUCGGGUUGUAAACUGCUUUUGUACGGAACGAAAAGGCUCUGGUUAAUACCUGGGGCUCAUGACGGUACCGUAAGAAUAAGCACCGGCUAACUACGUGCCAGCAGCCGCGGUAAUACGUAGGGUGCAAGCGUUAAUCGGAAUUACUGGGCGUAAAGCGUGCGCAGGCGGUUUUGUAAGACAGAGGUGAAAGCCCCGGGCUCAACCUGGGAAUUGCCUUUGUGACUGCAAGGCUGGAGUGCGGCAGAGGGGGAUGGAAUUCCGCGUGUAGCAGUGAAAUGCGUAGAUAUGCGGAGGAACACCGAUGGCGAAGGCAAUCCCCUGGGCCUGCACUGACGCUCAUGCACGAAAGCGUGGGGAGCAAACAGGAUUAGAAACCCGUGUAGUCC
RNAcentral lists this ribosomal RNA (450 nucleotides) under uncultured bacterium. Its description in RNAcentral is "partial 16S ribosomal RNA". It matches the Rfam family "Bacterial small subunit ribosomal RNA", at positions 354 to 796 of the family's 1533-position model. The record is from RNAcentral.